This 720-nucleotide ribosomal RNA is filed under the name bacterium IMCC11801. RNAcentral's name for it is "bacterial SSU rRNA". It matches the Rfam family "Bacterial small subunit ribosomal RNA", at positions 28 to 745 of the family's 1533-position model. The record is from RNAcentral.
AUUGAACGCUGGCGGCAGGCCUUACACAUGCAAGUCGAGCGAGAAAUUUUCUUCGGAAAAGAGUAAAGCGGCGGACGGGUGAGUAACGCGUAGGAAUCUACCUAGUAGUGGGGGACAACAUGUGGAAACGCAUGCUAAUACCGCAUACGCCCUAUGGGGGAAAGCAGGGGAUCUUCGGACCUUGUGCUAUUAGAUGAGCCUGCGUCGGAUUAGUUUGUUGGUAGGGUAAUGGCCUACCAAGACUACGAUCCGUAGCUGGUCUGAGAGGAUGAUCAGCCACACUGGGACUGAGACACGGCCCAGACUCCUACGGGAGGCAGCAGUGGGGAAUAUUGGACAAUGGGCGCAAGCCUGAUCCAGCCAUGCCGCGUGUGUGAAGAAGGCUCUAGGGUUGUAAAGCACUUUCAGUAGGGAGGAAAAGUUAGUAGUUAAUAACUGCUAGCCCUGACGUUACCUACAGAAGAAGCACCGGCAAACUCCGUGCCAGCAGCCGCGGUAAUACGGAGGGUGCGAGCGUUAAUCGGAAUUACUGGGCGUAAAGCGCGCGUAGGCGGUUUGAUAAGCUGGAUGUGAAAGCCCCGGGCUCAACCUGGGAACUGCAUCCAGAACUGUCUGACUAGAAUACAAUAGAGGUGAGUGGAAUUUCCUGUGUAGCGGUGAAAUGCGUAGAUAUAGGAAGGAACAUCAGUGGCGAAGGCGACUCACUGGAUUGAUAUGACG